Molecule: microRNA precursor, 245 nt
Filed under: Paramuricea clavata
Lineage: Eukaryota; Metazoa; Cnidaria; Anthozoa; Malacalcyonacea; Plexauridae
Source: RNAcentral
AACAAGUUUGGAACAAGCUGUUAACAACUUGUAACAAGCUUGAUGGCAUUAUCAGACUUGUUACAAGGUUCUAACAAGUCUGAUACAGUCGUGAUAUAACAAGAAUGUUACAAGUUUGACGACACAAGUUUGCAACAAUAUUGUUAUAUCAUGACUGUAUCGGACUUGUUGGAACAACCUUGCCACAAGUCUGAUAAUAUCAACAAGGUUGUUACAAGUUGUUAACAGCUUGUUCCAAACUUGUU